RNAcentral lists this long non-coding RNA (781 nucleotides) under Phascolarctos cinereus (koala). RNAcentral's name for it is "lncRNA (ENSPCIG00000035816.1)". Lineage: Eukaryota; Metazoa; Chordata; Mammalia; Diprotodontia; Phascolarctidae. The record is from RNAcentral.
ACAGAGGUGGUACCCUGGAUUCUCUGAAGUCACAUCCAUGCAAAGAGACAACAAGAAGGAAUUGGGCUCUUUUUCCAAUAGCGUCUUAGAAAGGCAAUCUUUAAUGGACAUUUUGCUAGCAAGAAGCAUAGAGAAAACCAAGCCUCAUUCUUCAAGUUUAACUUUCCUGACAUCACCUUGCCAGCUCUGGAGAGCCUCUGAAUACAAGCAGGCAGCUUGAUGAUUCUGAUAGCUCCAUCUGCAUUUUUAUUCCACCAACACAUUCCAAACUAUGCCCACAGAUGUGAAUUGAGCUACUUUUCACCAAAGUUUCUAAUGCAAUCCAGCCCAAAAAGCUUUUAUUGAGCUGUUUUGUCCUUCCUUCUUGAAGAGGACCAUGACAUUAGGAAGAUGAUUCCAUGACUUGCAAAUGAAUUGGAUUUAAGUCCAAGGUCACCAGCCUUACUUUCUCCUCCGGAGCCAUCUGGGUCCAGUGACAAGAUAUAGAUCAGUAUGACUGAAGAUGGCCCCUCCAUGUGGUAUGGAUGUAGAUGAAGGAAUACUGGACUUGGAAACAAAAGUUCAAUUUUCUGAGCAUAUUGAUUUAUUAAGCACUUGCUAUGUAAAUGACACUUUUUUAAGUACUAGGGAAACAGAAAAACCAAAGAAUUGUCCAUACUUGCAAAAAGCUUACAUCCUGCUUUGGGGAAGAAGGCUGGAAGGAUGCAACAUGAAACAGAGCAAGAGCAGGACAGAUUACUGGAGGGUGUCCAUGGUUGUUGAAGGCCACCUGAACCUUUGA